RNAcentral lists this ribosomal RNA (459 nucleotides) under uncultured bacterium. RNAcentral describes it as "partial 16S ribosomal RNA". It matches the Rfam family "Bacterial small subunit ribosomal RNA", at positions 338 to 795 of the family's 1533-position model. The record is from RNAcentral.
CCUACGGGAGGCAGCAGUGAGGAAUAUUGGUCAAUGGCCGGGAGGCUGAACCAGCCAAGUCGCGUGAGGGAAGACGGCCCUACGGGUUGUAAACCUCUUUUGUCAGGGAGCAAGGUGCAGGUCGGGACCUGCUGUGAGAGUACCUGAAGAAAAAGCAUCGGCUAACUCCGUGCCAGCAGCCGCGGUAAUACGGAGGAUGCGAGGGUUAUCCGGAUUUAUGGGGGUGAAAGGGUGCGCAGGCGGAGGCACAAGUCAGCGGGAAAGGCGCGGGGCUCAACCCCGCGCCGCCGUUGAAACUGUGUCCGUUGAGUGCGCGAAGGGUAGGCGGAAUGCGUGGUGUAGCGGUGAAAUGCAUAGAUAUCACGCAGAACUCCGAUCGCGAAGGCAGCCUACCGGCGCGCAACUGACGCUCAUGCACGAAAGCGUGGGUAUCGAACAGGAUUAGAUACCCUGGUAGUC